UGGGGAAUAUUGGACAAUGGGCGAAAGCCUGAUCCAGCAAUUCCGCGUGUGUGAAGAAGGCCUUCGGGUUGUAAAGCACUUUAGGCAGGGAAGAAAAAAUCGGAGUGAAUAACUCCGGUCUUGACGGUACCUGAGAAAUAAGCACCGGCUAACUCUGUGCCAGCAGCCGCGGUAAUACAGAGGGUGCAAGCGUUAAUCGGAUUUACUGGGCGUAAAGCGUGCGUAGGCGGUUCACUAAGUCGGUUGUGAAAUCCCUGGGCUUAACCUGGGAACUGCAGUCGAUACUGGUGGACUAGAGUGCGGUAGAGGGUGGCGGAACUCCGGGUGUAGCGGUGAAAUGCGUAGAUAUCCGGAAGAACACCGAUGGCGAAGGCAACCACCUGGGCCUGCACUGACGCUGAGGUACGAAAGCGUGGGGAGCAAACAGGAUUAGAUACCCCGGUAGUCC
This 448-nucleotide ribosomal RNA is filed under the name uncultured bacterium. Its description in RNAcentral is "bacterial SSU rRNA". It matches the Rfam family "Bacterial small subunit ribosomal RNA", at positions 355 to 796 of the family's 1533-position model. The record is from RNAcentral.